Macaca mulatta (Rhesus monkey) is the source of this 1120-nucleotide non-coding RNA. Lineage: Eukaryota; Metazoa; Chordata; Mammalia; Primates; Cercopithecidae. The record is from RefSeq and is a predicted model, not a curated record.
UGGAGAAGAAGUAUUCUCCUGUUGGGGGCUGGCCGGGAGAGAGGGGAGUCUGAACAUUCUGAGGGAGGCGCAGGAUUCUAGAGGCUCCGAGUCUUUCCUGGAAUCUUUUAUGUCAGGUACCCCCAGAGAGAGGAGCAGCCUUCUCACCCUGGCCUCUGCAGAGAAAAGGCCAUGUGAGGGCAUGGCAAGACAGGCGACUGUCCACAAGCCAGGGAGAGAGCCCUCCUUAAAAACCAAAUGGAUCAACACCUAAAUCUUGGACUUCAAGCUCCCAGAACUGUGAGAAAAUUAAUUUCUGUCGUUUAAGCUGCCUGGUCUGUGGCAUUUUGUUAUAACAGCCUGAGCUGACUACGACACCCUCUUGGUAAAGAACUUUCAAGGAGGAAGUAUGAUUUGGAUGCUCAUUCUGCCACUUACAAGCUGAGGGGCCUUGGGUUGGCACUGCACAGAGAUGGAACCUGAUGAAACGGCCCCAUUUGAGUGCCUGCUGUAUCGUGUUGGCUCUGCUUCCUGCAGCUGUGCUCCGAGAUGAGCCUUUCAGUCAUCGCUCCCUAAUAGCCCCAUCUCCCCGAAUUUGGGAGGACGCACAUUCCUCUCCUUGCUCACAUGCCCCACUUCAAGCCAUCUGCACACUCUACAGGGAACUUGCCUCCUGACGUCCUGAUGUGCAACGCCAUCCAAAUCCUCUGCUGGAAUCUCACUAUUCACACCACUGAUGCCCCUGGAGCAUGAAACAGAAAGGCCAGUCUUCUUGUCUUUUUAUUCUAAAUGUUUAAUACAGAUUCCAUGGACUUGGUCCAUAAUAAUAUGAGCAUAGUCUUACAUCAAUCCUUUUACUAAUUUCUCAUCAUCUCCCUCAUCCUUGUCCUUUAGUGAUUGUUCCAGACCUUCUCUUCUUAUCCUCGUACUCUCCUCUUUGGUAUAGUGGUGAGUAAAAGAAAGAAAAAAAAGGUCCUAAUGUGGCUCAUAUCAUCAUGGUUUAUUUAUUACCUGGAGGAUUUUUGAGGCUAUGAACAUUGUUUUAUUUUCUGCUGUAUCCCCAGCACCUAGCACAGAUGUGUGUGUACCAGGGCCUGCACGUAUAAGCUCUAUGAUGCUGCUAUAACAUGUAGUUCUCCCU